RNAcentral lists this ribosomal RNA (423 nucleotides) under uncultured Planctomycetota bacterium. RNAcentral's name for it is "bacterial SSU rRNA". It matches the Rfam family "Bacterial small subunit ribosomal RNA", at positions 9 to 412 of the family's 1533-position model. Lineage: Bacteria; Pseudomonadati; Planctomycetota. The record is from RNAcentral.
GAGUUUGAUCAUGGCUCAGAACGAACGCUGGCGGCGUGGCUAAGGCAUGCAAGUCGAGCGAAUCUAUUUGAAGGGUAACUGGAUAAUAGAUUAGCGGCGAACGGGUGAGGAACACAUGGACAAAAAAAACUAGACACAGGGAUAGCGGCGGGGAAACCCUUCGCGAAAGUGCCGGUAAUACCUGAUGACCCCAUGAGAUCGCAUGGUUUUGUGGGCAAAGUUACGGCGGUCUGGGAUUGGUUCAUGUCCUAUCAGCUAGUUGGUGAGGUAACGGCUCACCAAGGCAACGACGGGUACCGGGCGUGAGAGCGUGACCCGGCACAUCGGAACUGAGAUACGGUCCGGACACCUACGGGUGGCUGCAGCAACGAAUAUUCCGCAAUGGACGAAAGUCUGACGGAGCGACGCCGCGUGCAGGAUGAA